This 301-nucleotide ribosomal RNA is filed under the name uncultured bacterium. RNAcentral describes it as "partial 16S ribosomal RNA". It matches the Rfam family "Bacterial small subunit ribosomal RNA", at positions 509 to 807 of the family's 1533-position model. The record is from RNAcentral.
CAGCCGCCGCGGUAAUACGAAGGGUGCAAGCGUUACUCGGAGUUACUGGGCGUAAAGCGUGCGUAGGUGGUGGUUUAAGUCUGCUGUGAAAGCCCUGGGCUCAACCUGGGAAUUGCAGUGGAUACUGGAUCACUAGAGUGUGGUAGAGGGAUGCGGAAUUUCUGGUGUAGCAGUGAAAUGCGUAGAGAUCAGAAGGAACAUCCGUGGCGAAGGCGGCAUCCUGGGCCAACACUGACACUGAGGCACGAAAGCGUGGGGAGCAAAUGGGAUUAGAUACCCGCGUAGUCCCUGUCUCUUAUAC